GUCUAACUUUGUGAUGAAAGAAAAUGUGCGAGGGAUAAAAUUGGAAAAUAGAAAAAGAAAACAAAGUUUGUAUAAAUCUGAAGAUAGAGAGAUUGUGGAGUAGAUUAGGGUUUUUGCAGCCACACUCCUUUUACAGAAUGAGAUAACAUUUCUCACUGCAGAUUUCCCCAAAAUAAUAAUAAUAAUAAUAAUAAUAAUCACAAUUCCACGCAACCUUCGCUUCUUUCAUAUACCCUCUUCUCUCUUUCUCUCACUCUCAAGAGGCAGUGACGAUCGUUUUGGAGUGUGGAUCUAGAUGGAUGGUUUACCGGCGCGACUAUGCUUGCCGGUGGCGAGGCAUUCGGUGAAAUUGACUAUUUUGUCCUUUUUACCGAUUAAUUGCAGCCAUCCAUGGCGGCGCCUAUCUCCGGUGGCCGAUCUCAUCUUUGUACCAAAACUGAGCCUCAAAUUUCCUUUGACUAUGAAGUAGAAGUUGCAUGAGUGCUUGACAUGGGAAUUGCGAUUUUGGGAAACUACUGGGAGGUUGAAGAUUCAAGUUGUCAUGCUGCCAGCAAUUUUAACAAGGAUAUGGCUAUUAUGAAUUUGCUCGGUUGCGUGGAUUGUAGUCUAAGUUCUAUUUUUAAUGUAUCCAUUGUUGUCAAGAUAAGAUUAUGCUGUUGAGUGUUGAAUUGUUUAUCAACAAUGGUUUUGUUUUUAUCAUGUACAUUGUACUACUAGACAUAACUGUCUCUAUUGUACCAAAAAUAUAUGGAGUAAUAUAUUUUCCUUUUUGGUUCA
Long non-coding RNA from Lathyrus oleraceus (garden pea), 777 nucleotides. RefSeq lists it as uncharacterized. Lineage: Eukaryota; Viridiplantae; Streptophyta; Magnoliopsida; Fabales; Fabaceae. The record is from RefSeq and is a predicted model, not a curated record. The transcript has 2 exons.